This 55-nucleotide microRNA precursor is filed under the name Canis lupus familiaris (dog). RNAcentral's name for it is "miRNA (ENSCAFG00845022364.1)". The record is from RNAcentral. Lineage: Eukaryota; Metazoa; Chordata; Mammalia; Carnivora; Canidae.
UAAAAUCUUCAGAAGGAAAGGAGAAUGUUUUGUGGACCAUUUUUUUUUUUGUGUG